Molecule: ribosomal RNA, 381 nt
Filed under: uncultured soil bacterium
Lineage: Bacteria
Description: bacterial SSU rRNA
Rfam family: Bacterial small subunit ribosomal RNA
Source: RNAcentral
AGAUUGAACGCUGGCGGCAUGCCUUACACAUGCAAGUCGAACGGCAGCACGGGGGCAACCCUGGUGGCGAGUGGCGAACGGGUGAGUAACAUAUCGGAACGUGCCCUGGAGUGGGGGAUAACUAGUCGAAAGACUAGCUAAUACCGCAUACGAUCUACGGAUGAAAGUGGGGGAUCGCAAGACCUCAUGCUCGUGGAGCGGCCGAUAUCUGAUUAGCUAGUUGGUGGGGUAAAGGCCUACCAAGGCAUCGAUCAGUAGCUGGUCUGAGAGGACGACCAGCCACACUGGGACUGAGACACGGCCCAGACUCCUACGGGAGGCAGCAGUGGGGAAUUUGGACAAUGGGCGCAAGCCUGAUCCAGCAAUGCCGCGUGAGUGAAG